GACAAAAGUCGAUUCUAAGAUGUGAACGCCAAAGGCUGACGAAAAGAAAAAUAAAAACCAAACCAAACAAUCCUCAAACGACAAAAGGCUAACAAAUACAAAAACAAAAACAAAUCCAAACCCUCCUCUACCCUCUUACUCUCUUCUUUCUGUGUCUCAUACACAAACAAAACUUGCCAUUUCAAUCCAAAGUCUCUCUUUUUGAUUUCCAUUUUCUCUUCAGACGGGAUAAAAAGGGAUAGCUAACUUAAAAUAAG
This 257-nucleotide unclassified non-coding RNA is filed under the name Hevea brasiliensis (rubber tree). The record is from RNAcentral. Lineage: Eukaryota; Viridiplantae; Streptophyta; Magnoliopsida; Malpighiales; Euphorbiaceae.